CUUGGAUUGGUUGAGGCCAGGAGUUUGAAAUCAAACCGAGCAGGAGCAAGACCCCGUCUCUACUGAAAAUCGAGAAAUCAGCCGGCAUGGUGGAACACACGCCGCAGUGCUCCGCACACAGGGCUCCAUGAAAGGGCGGAACAGGGCAUCAGAACCGUAUUCAAGCCUGAUACAUUCUGCUCCUCAGACUUUAACACAGUGCCACCCAAAGGGACCCAGCACUCACUCACUCAUAAACAGCAAAUAUUACAUUGUGAAAUAAUUGUUUUAAGAAGAAACACACAGAAGUGAAUAAAGCAAAGCCAUUAAGCUUGUCUUCCUGUGACACGUCAGCCCAGCAGGGUGCUCUGGGCACAGGGUUCGGAAGACCGGGACUGGCGGCCCGGAGCUGCCCCGCUUACGCGGUCACCUGUGACUGCCCACACUCGCACACCGGCCUCUCCCGCCUCCCAGCAGGGCACGUGCAAGAACCACAUCCGCCAGCCACUGCCACUGGAUAAAACGGACACGUUCCUCAACACAGGUUCAGGUUACACUUCCUACUCAAUCCACUGUGACCUGAAAAAUAAACUCUAUGACCUUAC
Long non-coding RNA from Lemur catta (Ring-tailed lemur), 584 nucleotides. RefSeq lists it as uncharacterized. The record is from RefSeq and is a predicted model, not a curated record. NCBI's taxonomy places the organism in Eukaryota, Metazoa, Chordata, Mammalia, Primates, Lemuridae. The transcript is spliced from 3 exons.